UGCGGGGUUAAGUAAUUGGUUAACUUAUUAGGCUCAUAACCUAAAGAUUGUAGGUUCAAGUCCUACCUCCGCAC
RNAcentral lists this transfer RNA (74 nucleotides) under Gammaproteobacteria bacterium. Its description in RNAcentral is "tRNA-Met". It matches the Rfam family "tRNA". From Rfam's summary of the family: Transfer RNA (tRNA) molecules are approximately 80 nucleotides in length. Lineage: Bacteria; Pseudomonadati; Pseudomonadota; Gammaproteobacteria. The record is from RNAcentral.